CUGGUCGUUAGUCCAGCUUCAAAUCGGACGGCAGUAGGAAAUUAUUCUCUCACGUCAUUUCCUUCCGCCAGCUCCCAUGUCUGCUACACAGAAACUGCAAUUCCUCCACAGUUCAAAUUGACUGAGGCUGAUAUUUGCAGGGCCAAAUGCCAAUGGCGUCGUAUGACAGCCAUGUGAUGCAAAUUCGCAAGAGCAAUCGUACAUUCUUGUUCUCUCUAUAAUUUAAGUUUUUUUAUAGUUUCUUCCUUGUCCAUUCUUGUUCGUCGAUUUCUUCGGUUUAAUUAUUUCACUUCGUCCUGAAUUCUCCUUUUGAUAUCGCCGGAUUUGACUCUUCGUCGUAUCUCUCAAGCUCCGAACUGACCCCCUCCCCUUUCUCCUGGUACAUUAUUGCACUUCAUGCUUUCAGAUUCAACCAUGGCUCAACAGGAAGAUGGAUGGCCAUUAGGCUUGCGGCUUAUGAACACCAGAGUUGGAUUGGCGGGAAAUCAUGAUCUCUCGGCCUCGGUUUCUUUCAAUACUUUGCGCACUCAUUCUCCUAGUUCCUUCACCGACUCUUCCUCAGAUCUUGAUACAGAGGCAAUUGGUUUUUAGUCAACUGGAUCAUUCUACCAUGACAAGAGCAUCACGCUUGGGAGUCUCAUUGGAGUCUCUAGCCUUCUGGAGCUGUCGCGAAGAUCGACCAAAGGAAACGGAGUGGAAAUACUCAAAGACAAAAAGAAGUACAAGUCCAAGCCAUGGUUGUUUUCUUUAUCUUUAUGCAUUAAACUCCGCCCUGAUGCUGUGAGCUUGAGCAGUUCUCCUUCACUUGAACACUCUCUUGAAGCAGAAAGGAGAGCUCACAACCCGACCAUGUAUGGACCCAAUGAUUACUCGCCUGUUCGUCCUGUUUCUGGAACAAACUCUCUGUUUUCCAGUGAUCAAGUUGCUCCCGUGCAGCCAUUUGCACCGGCGAUCACAGAGGAAAGCAGAAGAUCAAUUGGAGAACUUGCUGAAGAUGGUUACUGUCAAGGGAUUCCUCCACUAUUUUCAUGUCUAUAUUGCCAACUCAUCAAAUAAUUCUUUCUUUCAUUCCUAUAAUAACUUUGAAUGCAUUGUUUCACUACAACCUUUUCUUCAUGGACAAAUGAUGCAUGUCAAAAGUUAUAUGGUCAUUUCUUUCAUUCUACCAUUUGGGUUGUGGGAGACUUAUCACCAUUGAGCCAUUGUGUUUGGAUCAGACAAAUCAAUGUAUUCUCAGCUGCUACGUUCAGUCUGUUUACUGCCAAGUUAGUGAACCACUUUAAGUGACA
Cucurbita pepo subsp. pepo (vegetable marrow) is the source of this 1289-nucleotide non-coding RNA. The record is from RefSeq and is a predicted model, not a curated record. Lineage: Eukaryota; Viridiplantae; Streptophyta; Magnoliopsida; Cucurbitales; Cucurbitaceae.